GACCUUAUUAGUUUUACUCUCGCAAUGUAAUUUCGAGAAAUUUAGGUACUGUUUAUAAUUACUGGAAGUCUAAUGACCAAAGUAUGACCACGGAAAUUUCUAGGGGCUGGGACAGAAGUUCUCAAAUUAUAUUCUUCCUAAUUUCAUGGAGCCGACACAGAGUCUCCGUCGGAAGUACAUCGUCGCCCCUACCUCCGUGAGCAAGACAACAAUCGACUCUAUUUGAUUGGAAGUAGUAAGAAACUCCAUUCCUUAUCUGUAGAAAUCAGCCCCGGCGAUCUAGAGUCAGAGAGGCGAUGAGACGGAGAGCCGAGGUCCGCCGAAGAUCGAUGAUUCCUUGAGUCUAACAGAUAUGAGCAUUGACUGGAAGAUGAAGGCUCUUCGUCGCUGGCUAUCGAGAAUAAUGAGUUCCGAUAGGUCACGGCUUCCUAACGAUUUGGACGCAAGCUGUGAAUCUGUUUCCAAUCCUUCCGCCGUCGUCGAUGAGUGAACUAAUGGCUAAACUCCAGAACUUGGCGGAUCAAAGAGGCAAAAAUUAGACCUGUGAUUGAAAGAGGUAAAAAUUAGACCUGUGAUUAGGGACUAGGGAUGUGUUUUAACCUAUUUGAGUGACCUGGAUUUGCUUAAUUGCAGUAACAAUCAUCUCCAUGAUUCCAGGAGAGCUCAAUUCGCCGGAGAGUUCCAGUCGUAGAGGAGGUGCGUGCAGGAAAUGAAGCGGGUGAAGCGGACGUCACCGUUAACGUCAUCGUCGGGUCACCAUAUGGUAACGUGUGGUCCACUGAUUGGGUAACCUCUGACUCAGUGCCUCGUCACCAAAGCUACAUCGUUUUGACUGAGAUGCAAGCUGGAGAACUAAAUAAAAAUAAUACUAGUCGAGGUACGGGUCGAACAUGGGCCCCCGACAAUAUCAGUUCGAGUCCUUACCAAUUGACUAAAGCUUAUUUCAUUUGAAUAGGUUUAUCUUCACAGUUCACCAAUCUCAUUUGAAUUGGUUUAGAUCUUAGAUGUUAGUCUAACUAAUCCUAAUAAUUUUUAAUCUACUAUGCAUAACAUAAAAAUCAUAUCACAUCUUAAACAUGAAAUAAUAACAAUAAUAAUAAUAGUAAUCAUAAUAAUCACAUAUAUAAUCAUAAUUAUACUUAUAGGCUUCCUCAUCAUAAUCAAAUUCAGAAUUAUAAUAAAUAUAUAUACACCCGUUACUUAGUCAUGUAAUGAUCACAUUCAUAAUGCUCAUAAGUUAAUAAUUAGUAAUUUAUUAUAAUUUUAAAGUCAAUGACACUUUUACUGAGGGAAAUUUACGAAUUCCCAUACAUAAAUUUCGUCACUAAAUUCAGGAUAUAACAGUUAAAAUGUGAAAUUUAUGUUGUACUAAUUCACCUAACUCUUUUAUUUAUUGGUUCAAGUUAAUAAACCAAUGUCAGCUAUACACUUUGAAAUUGUACUAAUAUAUCAAUGGUGUACUAGUUCACAAACUCAUUCAAAUUAUAAAACCAAUGUGAGCUAUUGAGUUAACCAAUUAUACUAGUUUGUUAAGGAUUUUUUAUACAAGGGUUGUCCUAGUUCAAUUGAUUUCAGCAGUACAUGAUGUCUCACUAAUGGGUACUAGUUCAUACGCAAAUCACUAUAUGCGACCAAAGAAAUUGAUAUAUUGAAAAAUAAAAGUAUACAUAACUAGUCUAGUACCGUUACAACAAUGGCAUUGUAUCAGCCACCAUAUCAUAUUACAAAAUUCCGUCGUAUACUAGUGCAUCGAACAAAUCCAAUCUAACCCACAAAUAAUAUAAUAACAAAUUUUAUCCUGUGCUAGUGCACCCAAAAACUAGAUCUGAAUUUGAUGUCAUUCCCGAUAGUAAUAUAUUUGACGAUGUUGGAGCUACUUGAGUGAAUGGUAGGAAAGCAAGAUUGAUCUUGGACACAUGAGGCUGACGGUUGGUCGAUUUAUCACAAUCUGAACAUGAGAAGAGGGAAAACGAACUGAAGAGGUUGGAAACAACGUGAGGGAAGAAUAUGAAAUCCGAUCUCGAUGUGGAUAAGAGAUUUGAUUCUGAGCUUACUUGACGAGAAUGGAAGACCCGAUAGACGAGGCAUGUCAGAAGAUGGAUCAAUGGUCAUGGCGGUGAUGGCAGCUGAAAGUCUCAAUGGAGAGCAAAGUGAUGGCAGGGGUUUCGCCGACGAGGAGAAGGAUGGACUAACGAUGGCGGCAUGAAAGAGAGAGGUAUGGUGAUGAAUAGAGAAUUUUUUCAUGUGGCGACUACUUUCGGUGGAAUGAAUAAGUAAAGUUUUGAUAAGGAUAUAAAUAUUUGUAUUGCAACGGAUCUACUCCUAGUGAUAGAGUCAAUCAAAUAUAAGGAGCAAAAAAGUAAAGACACCAGAUUUGUUUAUGCUAUUCAAAGAGUAAACUCGCCUAAUCAGCGAAGUCUCAGAGAGGGAAUGGUGUGCCCAAAGAUGCAUUACUAGCAAACGUGUUCAGACCGAUUACAACUCAGAUAGAUCUCAACCUAAACCCUAAGAAAAAAAUGCAAGAAGCCAACAUGGAAUGAAACAACAGAGAGAAGAGAAACGGAGAGUUUCGCCCCCCUUCCAGGCCGAGAACGUAUCACAGACGUUCCGAGAAUCGUGAGCUGGUCGCGGGAUCGCCGUUGCAUUCUUCAUCUUCUCGCGGCGACUGAAGUGGGAGGAUUCAUUCUCCGCACCACUUCAGAUGAUAAGCAUUUUGAUAUGAAGUGCUUUCCACCAAAAACUCUGCGUUUCAUGUACCUGCAAAACAAAAACUAAAAACCGAGUGGUCUAACAUCUAACUGGUCUACUAAUCAUUCUGAUUCAGGUCUAGUUGUGACAAGAUUAUAACAGUUUUCCUUCUAAUCCCAUUGCCAUCUACAUCCUGGCUUUUGCCAAAGCAAUGCAUCCCAGGACUAAAUAAACACCUAUCAUUAUUGACUCAAUUUUUUGCGACUCCAGCCCACAUCUGUGAUGUGGAAGUUGUAACAAUCAUAGUACUGACAGGUUCGAUUUAAAUACAACAUCAAAGCUGUAAUAGGGGUGCUACGCUCCUUGCGCCAUAUAUAUCAUGUAAAAUAGUUUAUCAAUUCAAUUUCUUCCCUAAUCUAGAACGGUACUUAUACGUACCCAUACAAUUAACACAGGAAAUGCUCACUAUGUGAUAUAUUACUUAUUUAUUUCACAAAACACUAUAACAGAAGUCCGUAAGGACACAUAUUAGUACAUAAUAGAACAGAAGUCUCGAGCUUCACAGGCUCUAGCCACAGUCACCAUAUAUUUUCUCCUCAAGGCCACUAUAAUUUAGAAAACUAUAUUUCACAUCGUAUUAGUACACGAUAACUCAUAACGUAUGCACAUGAUGAGAGAAGAAGUCCCAAAUGGGUUUUAAAACACAAAACGAGGAUCAAGACACAAUCUUCGAUAUCUACCUGGCGUUGUUGCCAUGAUGGCCGACCCUGGAGCUUGAUGAUACCAUAGCGUAGAUUUGCAGUGUGUGAACCAGUAAGGCCUACUGUUCCUCUGAAAUGGAAAGUAAAGGACAGUGCUAAUCAUUGAGUGAGGAUCUUUUUCAUGGCCACUCCAAUCUACCCAUAAUUAUAUAGAAAGUAUUUAGCAUAAAACAUAUAAUGCUACUCCUAUAUUCUAAGUCAUAUUCAUAUUUUAUUUGGGAUCCUAGCUCACAUACGUUGACGCUCCACAUAGAUGUUGGUGGCACUAAAAUGGGCCUACGUAAAGUUAUUGUGGCACUUGCCGAGGCCUAGAACGACAGUUAGUUGUGGCACUUACCAAAGCCGACCGCAUAACAGAAGCGCAAUAAGCACAAUCGCCAGCAUACAGGCCCUAACUAGGUGAUCAAUCAAUUACCGGAUUUAUUAAAUAAUUAAUAAUAGCUACAACUCAAAUUAAAGCAUAUAUUAAAUCAGAUAUACCAGCAAGGUAACAUAACAUGUAUCACAUCAAAUCACCGGUACAGUAAACAAACAUAUAUAAUCUUAAGAUUAAAUAGUAAAUAGCCUAGCAUGCAUAUGACCUCUAAUAAUAAUUAACUCAUAAUUGAACGUCUAACUUGGUCGAAUAUGCAAGAGACCCUCACCAGAAAUAACCCUUGAGAAUACCAAUAUAAGAUUCUGAGUCAAAAGCCCAUUCCCAAAUGAUCUUCGAGCAAGAACAAUGUAUACUCCUAUAGGUUUAUAUGUUUUAUGCUAAAUACUUUCUAUCCACUAUAACUUCUUCCAAACCCCUCUGCUUCUCUAUGAAUUUCUAUGCUUUCUUCUUAUUUUGUCAAAUAGGCACAUAUCAAUUUAUGCUACUCACAAAUGGUGGAUGCUACAACUAAGGACUCCCUUCACAACAAUCCAAAAGUACAAAUAUAACAUACAUUAUUUGUCCUUCGCCCUAAUAAUUCUCUCUAUUCCCUAGCCAACUCACGUGGAGGGAUGUGGUACUCCUGCUCCUAAGACCAUACUUUUUUCCAUAAGCAAUUUUUCAUAAUCUCUAGGAACCUAGACAUUCCUUCCAUCUCAGGAAAUGAAAUGUCUUAAUUCAUGUAUUGGUGAGUUUUCCCUCUAAAAUUUGCCACUAGACACCUAGUGAAUGUGAUAGUUAUAAGCAGAUAUAUGAUUAGCCACCAUAAACCUGGACCACCACUUAUACCAGAUUAAUUCAGUUGGUAUUUUGUUACGAUUGGGCUAGGAUGCUAUAGAAGUAGUCUUUAUAGAAGGUAAAACUUAUAUGUAGGAACCACUUUUGUACCAAAGUCUGCAUGGUUCUGUUGACCAAUGAUUUUCUCAAUUUUUAGAAUUCCAUUUUCAACUUCAUCUCGGAUGAAAUGGUAUCUAACAUCAAUGUGCUUAGUCUUUUCAUGAUAUACCAAAUCUUUACAUAAAUGUUAAGUACUCUGACUAUCCAUGAAAAGAGUUGGCAUGGAAACCUUACCUUAUAUCUCUGAUAGAAUACCUUUCAACCAAAUAGCCUCUUUGCAGGCUUCAGUGGCAGCAAUGUAUUCUGUCUCAGUAGAAGAUAAAGCUACUAUAGACUGUUGUUAUGAUUUCCAGAAAUGCAGUUUCUAGCCCAAGUAAAAAAGUAUGAAGUGAUGGACUUAAGGGUAUAUUUGUUGCUAGCAUGAUCAGAAUCAACAAAACCAAGAAGCUUCUUACCUGAAGUAUGCUCAACAUACUCAAGACCCAAAUUUCUUGUUCAAAAAAUGUACCCGAAAGCAUAUUUCAAUGCAUUUCAAUGCUUUCUCCUAGGUCAGGCAUGUAUCUGCUCAGAACACAGAUGGCAAAAGCCAAAUCAUGUCUUGUACAAAGGAUCGAAUAAAUGACUGAUCCAACAACAACAUCAUAGGGCACACAACUCAUCUUCUCUAUGUCUAGAUCAAUUUUAGAGCAGGACUCCUUAGUUAGCUCAAGGUGAGCACCUAAAGGAACAUGAGCAGGUCUAAUGGAAUCACAAGAGAAUUUCUCAAGAACCUUAAGCAUGUAGUCAACUCUAGAAAGCAAGAUAGUUCUAUUUUUCCUAUCUCUGAUGAUCUUGACACCUAAGAUCUUCUAAGCAGGACCUAAAUCCUUCAUAUCAAGAUAUCUUUUCAGGUCUCUUUUAAUGCCAAUAAUAAUAACAUCAUUCUUAUAAAUAAGCAAGAUGUCAUCAACGUACAAACACAUAUAAAGGAGACUUAGAAUUCACAUUUUUGAAAUAAAUGCAGGUAUCAUAACUACUUCUAGUAAAGCCAAGAGAUUGCAUGCAGGUAUGAAACUUCAUAUUCCACUACACAGGACACUGCUUUAAAUCAUAGAUAGACUUAUUUAACCAACAAACGCGAUCUGAAAAAUCUUUAUCCACAAAUCCCUUGGGUUGUUUCAUAUAAAUUGUUUCCUUUAGAUCACCAUGCAAGAAAGCAGUUUACGUCCAUUUGUUCUAAUUCUAGAUCAUACACAAUAGUCAUAGCAAGCAAAAAUCUCGCAGUCUCAUAUUUAACCACAGGAGGAAAGAUCUCAUUAUAGUCUAUGCCCUCCUUCUGAGUGCAUCCUUUAGCAACAAGAUGAGCCUUGUAUCUAGGAGGAUCACGAGAAGAAGAGCCCUCUUUUAUUCUAUAUACCCAUUUAUUAUCCAUUAUUCUAGCAUCAACAAGUUUCUUAACUAGAGUCCAGAUUUUAUUAGCAUGCAUAGACUGAUCUUCUUCUUGCAUAGCAGCAAACCAAAAUUUUGAAUUAGCACAUUUAAUAGCUUGCUCAAACGUAUCAGGGAUAAAGACAUCCAUAUACUCAGACACAUACAUGGAAAACUCAGCAAAAUUAGAAGAAUAUCUUUUAUUGGGAAUUCUAACUCUAAGCUCUCUAUCCCUAAGAAGUUGAUAGUCAUUCAAAACAUUCAAGUUUUAAAGAUUCACAUCAACAUCAUAAUUAGCAUCAAGAUUAACUGACGGGGAAACAAAGGAAGCAUUAGAAUUAGAAAUUGAAGGAGAAGAUAUACUUACUGAUCCCCCACCUGAUUGGUGAGAGAGGUCAUAUGUGUCUUGUGAGUCAUUGGACUCCUACAAGGAAGAAUUUUCCCUUGACUGGGAGUGCCCUUCUGAGCUAGUUGUCUGAUAUUCUUCCAAAUGUCCAACGUCAAAUUCUUCCUCUCUAGCACCAUUGUCAGGAUCCUCAUUAUUAUUAGGAUCAUAGAAUUGUACUAAUGAAACAGGAACAAAACCUUCUCUCUUAGGUGUAUCAGCACACUCAGGGGAACUCAUUAGUCGAUUUUUAAAUGAAAAUCAUACUCAUUAAAUGUGACGUCUCUCGAGGCAAUGAUCUUGUAUCCAUGACAAAGUACAAGAAGUAGGUUAUACCCUUUUACUCAUUCAGGAUAACCAAGCAUCACUUCCUUUUGAGCUCUAGAUUUAGCUUUCCUUGGAAAAACUGAGAAUAGGCAGUACAACCAAAAGGCUUCAAGUGACUAAAAAUAGGGGGUUCCCUGUCCAGAGUUCUUAAGGUGUUUUGAAUCCAACAGCAUUAGAGGGAGAUCGGUUUAUAAGGUAAGCAGCAGUAGUUACUGCUUCUCCCAAUAAACUGGACUUCAUGUUAGAACUGAUCAGCAUGCACCUUGCCAUUUCAAGCAAGGCUCUGUUCAUCUGUUCAUCAUUUCUAUUUUGUUGUGGAGUACCAAGAAUAGGUUAACAAUCUCUUAAUGCCAUAUUCUUGACAGAAAGAAUUAAAGGCAUUAUUACAAAACUCAAGGCCAUUAUCAAUUUUUAAGGCAUUGAACAGUGAGAUCGGUUUGAGUUUGAACUAAAAUUCAUAGUUUUUAAAUUAUUCAAAAGCUUCAUCUUUGGUUUUUAACAAUCUGACCGAUACUUUUCUUGAGUAAUGAUCAAUUAUGGACAGAAAAUACUUUCUUCCACCAACUGUGAAGACCUGUGCUGGACCCCAAAUGUCAGCAUGAAGGAACUCCAAUACUUGAGAGGCAGUAUAGGUAGAUUUACCAAAGCUGUGUCUAGCUUUUUUUCCAAACACACAGUUCUCACAAAAACCAAGAUCACAUGGGUUUUUAUCAAUAAUUCCAGUUUUAAACAAGUGAGUUAACCCAUUUUGACCUAUGUGACCCAACCGAUUAUGCUAGAGCUUAGUAGAAUCCUUAUCAUCAUGCUUAACAGUUCCAACAGUCACAUGUAAUUCAGGAAUGCCAGCAACAUAGUUUAAACCACCACGUUUAACACUCCUAAUAAGAACACGACCAUUUUUAAUCACAUCUUUGAGUACUUAAGUUGACAAUUCAUUUCAUCAAACAUUGACUCAGACAGAAAAUUCCUACGUAGACUAGGCACCCAUUUCACAUUCUGAAUGAUUAUCAUCACCCCAUCAUGCAUUCUCAUCGAAACAGAUCCAACACACUUUAUUCUAAGAGUAGUAUGGUCACCUAGCAUUUCUUCUCCCCUCCUCAAAUUUAUCAAGAGAAGAAAAUAAAUGAACAAAAGGGGUAGCAUGAAUGUUACAACCAGAAUCUAAGAUCCAAUCAUCACAAAAUUACAGAUACUAGCAACAAGAAGCUCAUAAGGGUAUUCAUCACAAGACUCAAUUAGAUUAGUGAAAUCAGGGUUAUCCUUAGCCUUAUUCUUUUCAUCAAGGAUCCUUUUAUGAGAAUCUUUAGCAUAGUGACCCUCAUUAUCAUAGUAAAAACAUUUGACUUUAGGUUAAUCUCUCCACUGUUUUUACCAUUUUCAUUCUUAUUUUUAGACUUGUUGCCUUUAGCCAUAACAGCCUCAGACUUAUUCUCGGGUUUAGAAUCACCGUGUUUACCCUUACUUUUAGACUUAAACACUCUAAAAACCUAUUCUUUCUUUAUUAUAGCUUGAGAGAUUUGAGUGAUAGUGAGAUCAUCAUGCCCAUAUUGAAUNNNNNNNNNNNNNNNNNNNNNNNNNNNNNNNNNNNNNNNNNNNNNNNNNNNNNNNNNNNNNNNNNNNNNNNNNNNNNNNNNNNNNNNNNNNNNNNNNNNNNNNNNNNNNNNNNNNNNNNNNNNNNNNNNNNNNNNNNNNNNNNNNNNNNNNNNNNNNNNNNNNNNNNNNNNNNNNNNNNNNNNNNNNNNNNNNNNNNNNNNNNNNNNNNNNNNNNNNNNNNNNNNNNNNNNNNNNNNNNNNNNNNNNNNNNNNNNNNNNNNNNNNNNNNNNNNNNNNNNNNNNNNNNNNNNNNNNNNNNNNNNNNNNNNNNNNNNNNNNNNNNNNNNNNNNNNNNNNNNNNNNNNNNNNNNNNNNNNNNNNNNNNNNNNNNNNNNNNNNNNNNNNNNNNNNNNNNNNNNNNNNNNNNNNNNNNNNNNNNNNNNNNNNNNNNNNNNNNNNNNNNNNNNNNNNNNNNNNNNNNNNNGAGUAUCAAACUAACUAGGGAAAGCAUUCAACAGAAUCACAACUUGGUGAAUUUGUUUAAUUUUAUCACCACAACGGUCUAAGUCUUGAGUUAUUUUCAGAAAAGACUCUAAGUUUUCACCAACAGUCAUAUUAAUAUCCAUUUUAAAGAUAAAGAACCUACUUAGCAAGGAUAUCAAACUAGGGAGGGACUUACACAAAAACAAAGUAUCCAAGGUAUUCCAGAGUUCUAAGGGAUUAGUAAUGCUCACAACCUACCGAGCAAUGUCGUCAGAUAAUCAAAUCAUUGUUUCAGAAUGAGCUAUUUCCCUUAUUUCCCUUUUCGUCAGAUCACUGGUUUGUUCCAUCAAAGGUUUCAAUCUUAUGUAAUCAGUCAUCGUAUGAUCCCUCACAAAAAAGAUAGUAAAACGACGCUAGAUAAACGAAUAGAAACAGAAAGUAGGAAAGAUUCACACCAUAAAGCCUAGAAAUGGGAAACUAACAUAGAUCAGCGAGAAACCAAAGCAGUAACCCUAGAUCGAUCCAAGACAAGUCAGAGUAAUAAGAUUGGAAACAUCAAGGCAAGAUUCAACACAAGAAACAGUCAAAGGAUCAAACCCUAAUAACAUGCAAGGAAAACGAGUAACUGGUGCUAUGAUACCAAUUUGAUAUUUGUAUGGCAACGGAACUACUCCUAGUGAUAGAGGCAAUUGGAUAUAAGGAGUAGAAAAGUAAAGACACCAGAUCUGUUUAUGCUGUUCAGAGAGUAAACAAUCCUAAUCAGCGGAGCCUCGGAGAGGAAAUGCUUAGCCCAAAGAUGCACUACUAGAAAAAGCGUUUAGACCGAUUACAACCCAGAUAGAUCUCAACCUAAAACCUAAGAAAAACAAGGCAAGAAGCCAACAAGGAAUCAAACAACAGAGAGAAGAGAAACUGAGGGUUUCAGGCCCCAUCCAGGCUAAUAACAUCUCACUGACGUUCUAGGAAUUGUGAGCUGGUCACCGGAGCAUCAAGGCAUCAUUGCACGCUUCGUCUUCUCGCGGCGGUUGAAAGAUUUUUUUUAGGCUAGAAUUUUCUGUAAAGGCUAAAGUAAGAGGAUAGAUUAUGCGCACCGCUUUAGCUGAUAAUCCUUUUUAUAUGAAGUGCUUUCCACCAAAAAAUCCGCGUUUCAUGUACCUGCAAAACAAAAACUAAAAACCGGGCGGUCUAACAUCUUGCCGAUUUACUAAUCGAUCUGAUUAGGCUCUAGUUACUCCUGGAUUAUAACAGAUACAGAUUAAUUAGAAGGAUAGGAUCUAAACUUUAAUAAUCCAAUAGUCACAAUCCAUUAUCUUCUUAAGAGAUAAUUAGGGCUCAUCAUCUCCUCUUAUACACCCCCAACCCGGGUCGUCACAAUAGUGGCAGUAGAGGCGGGCUCAGAAGUGCAUGCCUCCGCCCUGUUUAAAAGCACAAUAAAGAAAGUAGUUAUUACAGAAUCUUGAGAUAAUUAACUAGCAACAUGUUAAUAAUUUGAUCCCUCCUCCUCCUCAGUCCUCACACAUGGACAUGAUAAUUAUACCUUUUUCUUGUUGAAUAUAAAGUUAUCGUCACCGUUUUCAAUAUUGGUGAGCAGCUGGCGUAGCAUGCACUGGCUGCACUGCACUGUAGUAGGUAAUUCAGUCUGUAAUGUAUGGGCCGCCGACUACUGUGAACAAUUUAGCAACAUGUCGUUUCAUUAGGUGCAGCUCUUCCCUAGUGAAGUUGUAGCCUACGGUAUAACAAUUAAUAGUAAAGUACUAGAAUCUUAGAGUUGUUUGGAUAGGUGUAUUUAUAUAUAAAAUUUUAAAUUCAUGCAUUUUAUUGAAAUAUAUGAAUUUGAAAUACUUCAAAUUAAAAUCAUGUGUUUGGAGCUAAGUUAUUUUUGUAUAUAUUUCAAAUACACUACACAUUCUUUUCAUCAAACUACACACAAUUAUAUAAAAUAGCAAAACAGAAAACUCUCACAGCAGGUCGGUAGCGAAGCCGACCGAUUCGUAGCGUGGAGGUUGCCGGCUGAAGUGUUAGCAAAUGAGGGCGAACGUGCUGGCAGAUUGUAGUGGAAGUGCCGACGAUGGCGGCGGAAGUGCUAGCGGAUGGAGAUGACUCGAGAUUGCGGAAGUUGCUGGCGGAAGUGCCGGCGGAAGUGUCGGCGGAAAUGGCUGGAGGAUGAAGGUGACUCCAGAUGGGGGAGUUGCCGCGGAUAGCAAUAAAAGUGGCUGGCAACCGUGGUUGACGGCCGAGGGAGGUUUGAAUCCAGGCGAGGCGGGGGUUCCCAGCGAAUGGUGGCUAAUGAUAGAGGUCGGCUACCGAUGGAUGGUGGUCAGCUACAGGCGCGUUGGGUGGGGGUGGGAGGUUUACCGGCAGACAAUGAUUGGCGACCAGCGAUGGAGGUUGCUGGCAGAUUGCGGCUGAUAGAGCAAGUAGGGGAUGGCCAUCGACCGACGACCGAGAUUGGCAUCAUAUGUGAAGGUCGUGGCUGAAAAAAGUCGCCGACAAAUUUUUCAAUCACCGGAAAAAUUUUCAAUAACGGAAAAAAAUCUCCAGAAAAAGCAGCGGCAAUUUUUUCGAGUCCGAAAAAAUCACAGUUACAUUUACCCAAUCUUGUAAUCAAAAUAAAGAAUAGUUGAGUGGUAGGGGAAUAUCUUUUGUUGGUAGAUGUUGACUGGUACUAACUAUAUGCAUAAGUUUGUUCUAUAUUUGGAUUAGAAGACUCGGUAAAUAACUGUGUGGAUUGGUGAUCUAAUGUGUAUUAUUGCCAUCGUGAAGUAGGUUUGAACUGCUAAGCGUGUUAUUCUUCUUUCACCAUGUUUCGAGUUUGUUUAGAGUGUGAAUAUUUGUGAUGCAACUUAUUUCAGGACAGGGGGUGCACGGCGUGCACCUCCCAAAUUCAGCAGUUUGCCUAUAAAAGGCUGAUUUUGAGGAACGAGAAAGGAGAUCUUCCCACAAAUUCCCAUUGAUUUUCCACGACUUUUCUUUGCCAAAAC
Molecule: long non-coding RNA, 11817 nt
Filed under: Linum usitatissimum (flax)
Lineage: Eukaryota; Viridiplantae; Streptophyta; Magnoliopsida; Malpighiales; Linaceae
Description: long non-coding RNA (LUSI_LNC002939)
Source: RNAcentral